Molecule: long non-coding RNA, 1300 nt
Organism: Astatotilapia calliptera (eastern happy)
Lineage: Eukaryota; Metazoa; Chordata; Actinopteri; Cichliformes; Cichlidae
Source: Ensembl
UUCUCUUUCUGAUGCCGUUUGCCCACAGCGCUGCUGGACCUCUCUGCUCAGAACUCUGGUAUUGUCUCUUGGACUUCUGUCCAUUGUUGAUGUUCAUGCUUAUGCUUCUGAAACUGCACUCUGUGUCUUCAGGGAGAGAUCAGCUUCCUUGGAGCUCGCUUGUUCAGGAUGAGGACGGGAAGCUGCAAAACAAUUCAGCCAAAAAAUUCUGGCUGGGUGUUUCUAUUUUUUCUAAUGAUUUCAACCUAUAAUUUUCUUCCGACUGCUGCCCGUGGAGAAUUGAUCCAGGUCCGUUCCCCACCUGUAAUCGACAGACUGAGAGACUUUCAUUAUUCAGUGUGACUGCAUAUGUUUUCAUCACUCCUAAAGCAACACAUCUCUACUCAUUUUGUUUUAAACUCUGACUUUAAACCCCAAAAAUGAAAUUUUUAUUUGGUCUUAACUGCAAACCCAAAAAUCUUCUUGAUGUUGUUGUUAAUUAUUUUCAUCCACCACACUCCAAAUUAUGUUUUCUUUUGUGUCCAGCAGGGGAAGAAGGUGACCUGUAGCAUCACUGCUUCCCCCAGUUGGAGACAAUUUCCCACUCACACUUCCACGCUUUUUAUUUUCUUUGUUUUCAUGAUUUUCUUUCUCUUUUUUUAUUACCCCAUUGUUUUACACCCACACAUUAACCUGUUAACUCACUCCUUCAACCUCAUUUUCCUUUCACCCCAACAGCUCUCAUAGAGUCAGCAAUCAAAUUCUCCAUUCAUCCUUGAAUACUUGAUCACCUUUAAAUGUCACUGUUAAUUUUAUCAAUUUAUUUAUCAUUACUUUAACACUAAUCCACUGUUUAUUUAUUUUUUUAUUUACUUUAGUUCAUUUCCUCCUCUUUGAUCACUACGAUUUCUUGACUAUUUAUUAUUUCACAGAAAAUCAACUAAUCUACUUUGUCUCCCUUUUUGUCAUCAAGGAAUUCACACACACUCACAAGCUAGUCACUAGCCCCCACCUUUUCUUUCUCUCUCACACACACGCACAUUUUACUCUUCGUUCGUUCCACCUGUGAACCCGCCCCUCGAGGCUGGCUCACACACACCUCAUGCUUCUCGCAGUCCCAUUCAAACUUUCUGCGAGACACUUCUUCCUCUGCUUAUUCCGGACAACGCCCCAAGCGGCACACAGAGCGGGUGCCGUCCGCUCUUGUGCACCUCGCAAAUUAUUCAAACUGCGCCACGGACUCGAUACUGCGGUUUCUCUUCCCCUAAAAGAUAUAAAACCAAAUUAAACCCCCCAAUUGACUUCACAGUUUGCAACAAUU